Molecule: ribosomal RNA, 2917 nt
Filed under: human oral metagenome
Description: bacterial LSU rRNA
Rfam family: Bacterial large subunit ribosomal RNA
Source: RNAcentral
UCAAGCGAAUAUAGGUCUAUGGCGGAUGCCUAUGGAGAUGCAAGGCGAAGAAGGUCGUGAUAAGCUGCGAAAAGCCGCGGGUAGGAGCACAUAUCCGAUAAUCCGCGGAUGACCGAAUGGGGUAACCCGCCGACUGUGAGGUCGGCACCCGUGACCGGAACACAUAUGGCACGGGAGCGAAACCGGGUAAAGUGAACCAUCUAAGUAACCCGGGAAAAGAAAUCAAUAGAGAUUCCCUAAGUAGCGGCGAGCGAACGGGGAGGAGCCCAAACCGUUAUAAAGCGGGGUUGUAGGACCGCCGAACGGGAAGAGGGGAUUAGGGGAAGCGUCUGGGAAGGCGCACCGAAGAGCGUGAUAGUCGCGUACCCGGCAUGACCCUCAACCAGGCGGAAUCCUGAGUACGGCGGGGCACGAGAAACCCAGCCGGAAUCCGGGUCGACCACGAUCCAAGGCUGAAUACUAUGCAUCUACCGAUAGUGAACAAGUACCGUGAGGGAAAGGCGAAAAGAACCCCGGUAAGGGGAGUGAAAUAGAACCUGAAACCAUAGACUGACAAGAUGUCACAGCCUGUAAAGGUAGUGGCGUGUCUUUUGUAGAAUAAACCUGCGAGUUGCGGUGCGCGGCGAGGCUAAGGGAUGGAAGUUCCGGAGCCAUAGGGAAACCGAGCCUGAUAAGGGCGCUAAGUCGCGCGCAGCAGACCCGAAGCCAAGGUGAUCUUAUCAUGGGCAGGCUGAAGGCAGGGUAACACCUGCUGGAGGGCCGAACGGUAAUCUGUUAAAAAAGGUAGCGAUGACCUGUGAUAAGGAGUGAAAGGCUAAACAAACCUGGAGAUAGCUGGCUCUCCCCGAAAUGCCUUUAGGGACAGCCUUGCGCAAAACCCACGGAGGUAAAGCACUGGCUGGUGGCGGGGGCGUCAAAGUCUACCAACACCUGCCAAACUCUGAAUGCCGUGGGUCAACGCGCAGGAGUGAGACCAUGUGCGCCAAGGUUCAUGGUCGAGAGGGAAACAGCCCGGACCGCCGGCUAAGGUCCCAAAGUCAUGCUGAGUGUGAAAUGAGGUUCGGAUGCACGGACAGCCAGGAGGUUGGCUCAGAAGCAGCCAUUCCUUGAAAGAGUGCGUAACAGCUCACUGGUCGAGCAUCCGGGCGCAGACAAUGUAACGGGGCUAAGCAUGGCACCGAAGCCGCGGGGGCAAAGCGAUUUCAGUUUUGCCCGGUAGGGGAGCAUUCCAUGGACCUGUGAAGGCGUACCUGUGAGGGGCGCUGGAGGGGAUGGAAGAGAGAAUGCAGGCAUGAGUAACGAAAAGACGGGUGAGAUUCCCGUCCGCCGCAAACCUAAGGUUUCCGGGGUAAAGGCAAUCUUCCCCGGGUAAGUCGGCCCCUAAGGCGAGGGGGAAACCCGUAGCCGAUGGGAACCCGGUUCAUAAUCCGGGACCUGUCAUGUUGCGAUGCCGUGACGCAUGAGGUGAAGUCCGGCCGGAGAACGGUAGUUCCGGUCGAAGCUGCAAGUCUGUGAGGAAGGGGUUAAAUGACCUUCUGAGAUGAGUAGUGACAGCGAGGCAAGGGAAGCUGAGCCGAAGCGGACGUAGCCACGGUGACAAGAAAUAGCGGCUAGCAUAGGCAUGACGGACCGUACCGUAAACGGACACACGUGGGUGGGAUGAGCAAUCUAAGGCGCUCGAGCGAACUCGCGUCAAGGAACUCGGCAAAAUGCGCACGUAACUUCGGGAGAAGUGCGGCUCCGGUUUGAAAGGACAUGGAGCGGCAGAAAGCAGGCCCAGGCGACUGUUUAUCAAAAACACAGCCAUCUGCGAACCAGCAAUGGGACGUAUAGGUGGUGACACCUGCCCGGUGCCGGAAGGUUAAGAGGAGCGGUGAGCAGUAAUGCGAAGCUGUUAAUUGAAGCCCCGGUAAACGGCGGCCGUAACUAUAACGGUCCUAAGGUAGCGAAAUUCCUUGUCGGGUAAGUUCCGACCCGCACGAAUGGUGUAACGAUUCUGGGCACUGUCUCGACGCGAGACUCGGUGAAAUUUAUAUUCCGGUAAAGAAGCCGGAUACUCAAAAUUAGACGGAGAGACCCCGUGAACCUUCACCGCAACCUAGCGCUGGGACCCUAUCCGUCAUGUGUAGGAUAGCUGGGAGCCUAAGAGGCGUGGCCGUCAGGCUGCGCGGAGGCGCCGGUGAAAUACCAGCCUUGACGGAUGGGGUUUCUAACCCGGACCCUGAAGCGGGCCCGGGGACAGGACUAGGCAGGCGGUUUGACUGGGGCGGUCGCCUCCCAAAGAGUAACGGAGGUGCGCGAAGGUCCCCUCGCGGUGAUUGGAAACCAUCGCGCGAGCGCAAAGGCACAAGGGGGCUUGACUGCGAGACAGACAUGUCGAGCAGGUGCGAAAGCAGGUCUUAGUGAUCUGGCGGUGCCGUGUGGAAGGGCCGUCACUUAACGGACAAAAGGUACUCCGGGGAUAACAGGCUGAUUUUCCCCAAGAGUUCACAUCGACGGGAAAGUUUGGCACCUCGAUGUCGGCUCAUCGCAUCCUGGGGCUGGAGCAGGUCCCAAGGGUUUGGCUGUUCGCCAAUUAAAGCGGUACGUGAGCUGGGUUCAGAACGUCGCGAGACAGUUCGGUCCCUAUCUGUUUUGAGCGUUGGAAGUUUGAGAGGAGCCGCCUUUAGUACGAGAGGACCGAGGCGGACGGACCUCUGGUUUACCGGUUGUCCCGCCAGGGGCAAGUGCCGGGUAUCUACGUCCGGAAGGGAUAACCGCUGAAAGCAUCUAAGCGGGAAGCCCACCUCAAGAUUAGACCUCCCCGGGGAUUUUCCCCCCGAAGGCUCCGGAGACACCAUCCGGUCGAUAGGCUGUAGGUAUAAGCGCGGCGACGCGCUCAGCCGAGCAGUACUAAUAAGCCGCGAGGCUUGACCAU